AGGAGGCUAAUAAUGAAGGAGUCAGUGAAGGAGGCCAAUGCCAUGAGGGUUAUCUCACAGCCCCAGAUGCUGGAUAAGUUGAAGGAGGCAGAAUUGCUUUUGGAUGACAUUCAGAAAGGCCUUGAAUGAUUAUUUGGAGAAGAAAAGAGUAUUCUUUCCAAGGUUUUUCUUUCGACGCAACAGUGAGCUCUUAGAAAUCCUUUCUGAGACAAAGGAUCCACUCCGCGCCUAACCACACCUAAAGAAAUGCUUUGAAGGAAUUGCCAAGCUCACUUUUAAUCAUGAGAAAGAAAUUACCCACAUGGAGUCAGCAGAAAAUGAAAAAGUAGAGCUCGUGCUGCGAAUAAUUCCAGCAAGUGCCAAGGGGCUAGUUGAGAAAUGGCUUCAUGAGGUGAAUAUCUUUAGCUCUUACUUAGGGUUUAGUUACUGUAUAAUCAUUUUCUCUUUUAGGAGCAAUGAAUAUCAUAAGCAUAUUUCCUAACUAAACAGCUCUCUGAGCAUUUGUCAAGAUGGUGACAGAUUGAAUAUCAGUCUUAUUGUUGUUAUUUAUUACAACUAAUUUAACAUGUGCAAACAUGCAACAAUUAAUUUUAUAAAAGGCUCUCAGGAUGUGAGUCUUAACAGAAGUGCGUGUGUCUGUCUGACAGCAUAUAUGUAAAUAUAUGUAUGAGUCUCUGUACAUGUAUUUUAUUAUUUAUCUCUGUAAUGUUUGUGGCUUAGAAGAAUUGGGGGGUUUUUUAUUCAGCUCAAAAGUAUGAGAUGAAAUAUUUUGUUGUUUUGGUUUCUGCACUAUCCCCCCACUCCCCAAAAAGAUGCCCCCAUCUUAAUUUUCUUAAUCUUCAACCCAUUUUAAGCAAAGGACAAAUACAGAAUUUAACUGAUAACCUUUCCCAUUGGGGCCUAUGAUCCCAGUUGAUCAGUUUUAGUCUGAAAUUAGUUUGAUAACCUCUUCGUUUGCUUUACCAAGCCUUCUUCUGCCAAAUUAUGAGAACGGACCCUUCUUCUGAUAUUUGUUUCUAGGUCAAAAGUCAUUUCCCAUCCAUUUCUUGCUUGCUUGCUUUUCAGAUAGGAUCAGCCCAGGUAUGCAGCUUUCCCUUCUCUAGUUACUGCCGGCACUGAUUUCACCCCAUUGUAUCACUCCCUAUACCUCUAGUUUCUCUCGUGCUUCCAGGCGGUCAGCCAACAAGGGGGUACAGCAGGACAAUGCAAUAUAGUAGAAAGGCAGGGGGAAGGAAGGAAAUAAAACCUUUCUAUCCAAAGCUGAUUCUGUUGAAAAGGAAAAUGGGCAAAGAAGCGAAGAGUGAACUUUGUUACUUUUGUUAUGUGCUGAGUUUCUGCUGGCUGGGUGAGCAAAACAAAGCAGCUCAAGUCCUCUCAUGAAUCCAUGUUUCUCACAUAAAUGAGCCCCACAAGAUCACCAUGCCAACUUCAAACUAAUCUUUUUUUUUUAAAGCAAAUGCACACAGUUUAAACCAAUUCAUCGCAGGGCCUCAAGCUGGGGCUGGGGUAGCAGGUAGGACAGAACUGACCCAAAGUACAAAUACUGCCUGCCCUGCUCUCCACCAAAAAUUAAAAAGCAAUACUUUUGUGCUCAUUUUCAACCCAUCUUAGAAAAAAACACUGGAGCUAGAGAGCUGUGGUAGGUGAGUUGCAAAUACACAGGUCUGAGCAGCCCAGGAGAGGCUGAACUCUCACUGUGCUAAACAAGCAGCGUGUGUUUUAGUUCUGGCUGUCUCCCACAAACGAGGGAGGAAUGGGGAGGUGAGCAGCUGUGUUUAUUUUAAUACAUCUCAUUUAACCCCCACCUAAAAACAAAUUGGAAGGUUUGGGAGUGCAUUAAUCUGGACCCAAUUAGCAUCUCUUUUUCCCUCAAAAGUGCAACCUGAGAUUAAUGAAUAUAAACUAGAGUUUCAUAUGCAGUCUUUAAAUCAUUUGCAUGUUUUAUGCAUGAUAAUUGAAUUUAUUUAUGCACUUCCUUUCAUUUAAUGAUUUCUUGCUCUUUCCUAUGCUAUUCACAUUGUACUAUGCAAGAAAUAGGCCUUGAUAGGGAAGCAAGAACAGGAGGGUAUAAAUAGAAUGGAGUUAAUUGUUAAUGCUAAUUUGAACUAUAAAUUAAUAGUAAUAUAUGUUCUACUUUAACUGGAUUAACGUAACAUUUUAAAGUUAAUGUAUAGAUACCUAGCUUUGCAAAAACUUUGGAUAUUGCUUAGUAUGCUUGUAUGUAUACAAGCAAAAUUAUUUUCAAAAGGCCAUUGAAGACCAUUAAAUUAUUGUAGUGACUUUUCAAUGACCCUAGAGACUUGUGUUUCAACUUGGCCAAUUAGUAGUAGUAAUAGUAGUAAUAAGAAGAGGAAUAGUAAUUGCAUUAAUAAAUAGCUGUAUUCAGCCCAGGAUUUAGAGUAUUAUAGUCUGGAUUAGAAAAGAAGAGUACGUUAUAAUUUGUCUUAUCUAGGAUUUGAUCAGUAGAAAUAUGAGCAUUGGAUUCAUAGUAAAUUUAUUGUAGACCAGGAAUAUAUGAGUUCUAGAGAAUAGAGAGCUGUACUACUGGCCCUGUGUUUGUGCCUGUUAAGUGUUAUAAGGGGAAUUUUGGUCUUUCCCACCUCCAAUUAAGUUCAGAUGUCUUAAGGAUUCCAGGGUGUUGGCAUCUGGAUAUUUUAUACUAAAAAGUCCAUUUUUGAAGUGGUCAUGCUAGGAAGCUCCUAUGGGAAAGAGUUUUUAAUAGGUUUUUGGUGGUGAACCUUAAAGUUUUAUUCUGCACCAGUUUCUCUCUUGUCUCUUGUCUUUCCUUAUGUGUUUAAAGCUGUCUGUGGGAGUGACAUUUUCUGUGGUGUCUUGUCUUUUUCAGUGAAUUAAAUGGUUGUGUGUUGUGACUGUUUCCUGAUCCUUGUAGAUAGGAAUGUGUUUAAAGGCUAAAGCUCUGUUAAUUUGUGAUGUAACAAUUCCAGUGUGUUUCUUGUCAUUGAAAUGUAGUUUAAAAUGUUCAGUAAUGUGGCAUGAAAUUAUUGGUUAGUUUUGAAAUGGUGGUGAAAUCAUGUGAAGAAAAUAAGUAUUGCAUCUGAUCAAGAUAAAUUCACUCUAGUGUUUUAUGGCUUUUUAUUCCUAUGUGAUAGUAAUAAAGUCUCAUGUAGGGAUGGAAGCCAUGAAAUACAUUGUGAAAAAUCAUCAACUAAGAUGUGGCCAUCAGAAUAGAAAAUGUUAUAGUUGUAGAGUGAUUGAAAAUUAUUGGAAGAUGAUUUAGCAUGUUGCCAUGUUGACUACCAUGUUUUUCCAUUUUGUUUCUUCAUCCUUCACCCAUAUAUCUUGUCAAAAAAGGAAAUUAGUUUUAUAAUGAGCUGAUUCAUCUUUAUAUCAGUGUUCACUAUUUAAAUUCUUUAUACAUUUCAUUUUCUGCUGAAGAUGACACUGUACAUGAAACACUGAACUAAUAAUUUAAUACAGUAAAAAAAAAAGCCAAAAAAACCUAACAAGCCUACGAAUGUCUGAAUUCACGUCUAAAUUUAGAAUGAGACAAAGUGAGUUGCUAUCUUACCAAAUGGUCCAGGUUUUUUACUCCCAUACUUAAGAAAGACCUGAAUAAACUAGAGAGUAAACUGUUUUUUCUAUUUGUCAAAUUGCAUGCUCUUCUAGUCUGGAAAAAAAGACAAAGGAUUCUAGUUCGGAGACAGUAGAAAAAACACUUAUGAGAGCGAUCCUGACAGGGCUACCAUCCCACGUGUUGCUUUACUAUACAAACUUUGUUAGCCUUUAUAUAUCUUUCUGUCUUGGGUAUCAUUUUGUUUAUGGGGCAAUUCUGGGAAUGUUAUGUAAAAGAGAUCUUUUUACAAACUUCUGUAUUCUUUCUCUAAACCACACAUUAAUAAAGCAUUUUUUGGCA
This is a long non-coding RNA of Alligator mississippiensis (American alligator), 3874 nucleotides long. RefSeq lists it as uncharacterized. The transcript has 2 exons. NCBI's taxonomy places the organism in Eukaryota, Metazoa, Chordata, Crocodylia, Alligatoridae. The record is from RefSeq and is a predicted model, not a curated record.